Molecule: ribosomal RNA, 223 nt
Filed under: uncultured bacterium
Lineage: Bacteria
Description: partial 16S ribosomal RNA
Rfam family: Bacterial small subunit ribosomal RNA
Source: RNAcentral
AGCGGCGGACGGGUGAGUAACGCGUAGGAAUGUGCCCUUUGGUACGGAACAACUGAGGGAAACUUCAGCUAAUACCGUAUGUGCCCUUCGGGGGAAAGAUUUAUCGCCAUUGGAGCAGCCCGCGUUGGAUUAGGUAGUUGGUGAGGUAAAGGCUCACCAAGCCUACGAUCCAUAGCUGGUCUGAGAGGAUGAUCAGCCACACUGGGACUGAGACACGGCCCAG